RNAcentral lists this ribosomal RNA (559 nucleotides) under Diaporthe fukushii. Its description in RNAcentral is "eukaryotic LSU rRNA". The stretch from base 196 to 349 matches the Rfam family "5.8S ribosomal RNA". The record is from RNAcentral. Lineage: Eukaryota; Fungi; Ascomycota; Sordariomycetes; Diaporthales; Diaporthaceae.
GACCUGCGGAGGGAUCAUUGCUGGAACGCGCCCCAGGCGCACCCAGAAACCCUUUGUGAACUUAUACCUUACUGUUGCCUCGGCGCAUGCCGGCCCCCCUGGGGGCCCCUCCUUCUGGAGGAGCAGGCACGCCGGCGGCCAACCUAACUCUUGUUUUUACACUGAAACUCUGAGAAUAAAACAUAAAUGAAUCAAAACUUUCAACAACGGAUCUCUUGGUUCUGGCAUCGAUGAAGAACGCAGCGAAAUGCGAUAAGUAAUGUGAAUUGCAGAAUUCAGUGAAUCAUCGAAUCUUUGAACGCACAUUGCGCCCUCUGGUAUUCCGGAGGGCAUGCCUGUUCGAGCGUCAUUUCAACCCUCAAGCCUGGCUUGGUGAUGGGGCACUGCUUUUACCCAAAAGCAGGCCCUGAAAUUCAGUGGCGAGCUCGCCAGGACCCCGAGCGCAGUAGUUAAACCCUCGCUUUGGAAGGCCCUGGCGGUGCCCUGCCGUUAAACCCCCAACUUCUGAAAAUUUGACCUCGGAUCAGGUAGGAAUACCCGCUGAACUUAAGCAUAUCAA